This is a non-coding RNA of Prunus mume (Japanese apricot), 1170 nucleotides long. The record is from RefSeq and is a predicted model, not a curated record. NCBI's taxonomy places the organism in Eukaryota, Viridiplantae, Streptophyta, Magnoliopsida, Rosales, Rosaceae.
CUUUGUUUACAGCAGCAGAACCUUAGUCUGUGGUUAUCAUAGAUUAAAGUCGUUCGUUUUUGCAUCAAGGACUUAAAACUAUACUUUGACAUGACAACUUUUCUGAUAAUGAACCAUUGGUUGAGGUUCAGUUCAGAUUUACCAUGUAUAUUGGUUUUAAUUUAUGUUUCAAUUAUUAGGCAUGUGAAGCCUUAUCUGAUCCUACUUUCUGCAACAGGAACACUUGGAGAGCAAUGAGGGUGAUCCUGAGUUACUUGUUUACAUUCUAUUUACAUCAGAUGUCAAGAUCACGGGCAUUUCAAUUAUUGGUGGUGUUGAUGGAACAAGUACUUCCAAGAUGAGUGCAUAAGUUCGAACUUCAAUAUUUUCUACGGAAGGCCCGGAUUUCUUAUAUUGGUGUAGUUCGAAUAAAAUAAAUAUCAAAACAGUCUUUGAUAGGUGUUCAAUGUUCACUUCAUCGCAUUUUUUGUAUUUGAAAAUACUAAAAACAAGACUGCAUUGCUUAAAAUAGGUUCAUCAACCAAGAUGGCAUUGACUUUUCAGGUGUUCAAGGAAUGCAAGCCAUUCAGGAGUGGGAUUUGGUUGAAAAUUUUCAAGGAGUGUUGGAGUACCAGACAAGAUGUUCUUUAGGUAUUCAAAGUUUCAAAAUGUGGCCAGGAUGGCAGCUCUGAACAAGUUGUCGAGUUCUCAAAAGAGAAGGCAGGAUGGCUUUGCUAUCUAUACAGAAGAAGAGUUGGGAAUUAAUAAGGCAGAUGCUGGAAGCACACCGCUUUGUCCAUUUGAUUGUUCUUGUUGCUUCUAAGGAUACUUGCGAAUUUGUGACAUUUCCCAGUUUUAAAAUUUGGUUCUGGUUUCGGUUUCUGCAAUUUGAGGAUAGCUGAGUGUAGCUUUUGGCUCUUCUUAUGUACACCAGAACCUGAUUAAUGACUCCUGAUCAUUCUUCAAUCAGUGCCAUCUUAGAAAUCGAUGUCCUGUGAUUAUGAGUUCUUUAAGUUUAAAUCAUGACUGUACUAGUAUUUAAAUCCAAAAACCUGAAAAGAAAAGUCUUGUGGUGGAUUUUGUUGGUUGCAGCCGCACUUUCUUCAUCCCUUUGUCUGCUGCAGAGUCUGUUAUGAUAAUAUAGAUUAAAGUGAUGCGUUUGAAACCUAGGACUUCAAACUACACAAUGAU